RNAcentral lists this unclassified non-coding RNA (378 nucleotides) under fungal sp. Its description in RNAcentral is "partial internal transcribed spacer region". The stretch from base 1 to 46 matches the Rfam family "Eukaryotic small subunit ribosomal RNA", at positions 1786 to 1831 of the family's 1831-position model. Lineage: Eukaryota; Fungi. The record is from RNAcentral.
AAGUCGUAACAAGGUUUCCGUAGGUGAACCUGCGGAAGGAUCAUUAACACGUAUCCAACGUUAAACCCCCCGUGAACCUUCAGUGCGCUCGCACUUUCUUAGAAAAGGUAAUUGCCGAACAGUUUUGAUUCAGGGACUUCUGCGUAGACUGUGCUUGAGCGUGAGGCAAGUGGCCUGGCAUUCCUCUGCUUGUUGGUGUCUGAAAGUGUCACCAGCUCUGUACGAAUGGCGCAGUCACGAUCGCUAGAGGCCGACACGGCCGGCGACCGGGUCACUGGGCGCGAGCCCCCCUCGUCACCUUUGCAUGAAAACGGGCCUGCGCUUAAUUGUGCGGCCACCAAACUCGAACAACUGUUAACAAUGGAUAUCUUGGUUCUC